GUUCCUUUUAGUAUCAGCCAUUUUGUUAACUCUGACCUUCUAGACUGUUGUGGUGUUUUAGGUUGUGGAGGGUGUGAAGUUAUCAUUUUAUAUCAUUCUUUGGAAACUUGAAGGAGGUUUCUUUAAACUGGUCAUGGAAAAUCGGGGCACAGUCAACACAAAGAAUCUGGGCCUUCCACCAAAGUACUAAUCACAGAAUGUCGCUAUUCAACGAAAUUUUGCCAGUCAAGCAAUCACAAGAAGUGAAGAUUGGUUACCAUCCAUCAGAAAAUUUAGAAACCGGUUUUUCUAAAAAGAUUUCAAAGGAACAUAAGAAGCAAUGUGCUGGCCACCAGUUGUUAAACUAUCGUAAAAGCUGCUACUCCGACCUUGCUCUUCACAUCUGGACUUCAGAGUCAUAACAUACAUUUAAGGUCAUGGAAAACCAGGGAAUGGUUAACACACACAAUUGAGAUUUUACAGUCAAGAAACCUGAAGUAGUGAAGACUGGUCUUUCAUCCACUGUAAAAAUAUAGUGAUCAGUUUUUCUAAAAGAUUUGACAUAAGGUGUAGUAGCAACAUGUAGGCCAUCAGCUGCUAAGCCAAAAUCCCAGUUAGCAACGAGCAGCAGCUACAUGUUAACCACCCUCCUUCAAGUGCAAUUUCUAGAACGAUGACUACAGAGGCAGCAACGAGUGGACAUUUCUUAAGGAGAAUACUGCGCUACAAAGGUAGCAAUGUGUGGACCACCCUCCUUUGGCAGAGCUAUUGGGAGGAAGAUUAAUUCAGAGGCAGCAACGAGUGGACAUUUCUUAAGGAGAAUACUGCGCUACAAAGGUAGCAAUGUGUGGACCACCCUCCUUCGGUAGAGCUAUUGGGAGAUAGUAUAUAGUAUAUUUUCUACUUUAUACUUUAACAUUAUACUGUAUGGUCCUUGACUAGUUUUCAAGUAUCUUAAGUUUUACACUGUAACCAUCUAGUCAAAAUUUAAUUUGGAAAGAAAAAUUGGUUUUACCAUGCAUCGAAAUUCACCAAUUUUUUUGCUAUCCACAGGUGGAAUAGUAGUUAUGGCAGGAGAUCCACAGAUGGAAUUUGCUGAACGAUGACUACAGAGGCAGUAACAUUUAGACCUCUUUCUCUUAAGAAGAAUACUGCGCUACAGAGGCAGCAACUUGUGGACCACCCUCCUUCACCAGAGCUCCGGUGAGGAGUAAUGCAGAGGAAACGAUGUAUGGAACACUUUCACCAAAGCAGCUGCCUAAAAGAUGACACCAGAGGUAGCCAUAUGAUACUUCAGCAUGUCAAUAUUUCAAUAAACAACUGUCUAUAUUAGUAAAUAAAGUACUGAAUGAGUAAUAAUGUCUUUCAGGGGAGGCAUUUUCUCUUCACCGCUUAACUAUGCUGAUCCGUGAAUAUUCUGACGUAUUACUUCUCUACUGUUUGAUCUCUCUAAACAUUACGCUUUUCUUUGGAAGAUUUUUCAAAUACACAUUUCCACUGGUUUUGUCUUCCUCACUGGUGGAUCUUUAAAGAGAAUCACUAGUGGAGAAGUCACAUCAAAACACACUUCUCCACAAGUGGAUCUUCUCCAUCUGUUGAUCUCUUGACAUAAUUUCUCCACCUGUGAGUCUCUUGACAUCUCAACCAGUGGUGAAUAUCUUUAAACACUAUCUCCAUAGGUCUCUUCUCCGUCUGUGGAGCUGCUGACAUUAUACUACUUCUCCACCUGUGGAUAGCAAAAAAUAAAACCAAUUUUUCUUUCCAAAUUUAAUUUUGACUAUACGUACAGUAAAAACUUAGUCACUUGAAAACUAGUCAAGGGUCAUAUACUAUACAGAAUAAGUAGAAAGUAUAUAAAUGCAAAGUAAAAACUAUAUGAAUACACAAUAUUCUUAGUCAAAGAACAAAGCAUUUAUGUAUUUCUCAAUAACUUAUAAUCAUAUACUUUAAUUACUGUUUAGUGAAGUAAGAUCACUCUUCUGCCACCUGUAUUUGCUCCAAAUGCAUGGAAAAAAUGAUAACUGCAAAUAAGACUUUGCUCAAUAUUCACUAGAAAACAGUAACAUUGCAAAUUUAAAUUCCAAAUAUUCAAAGUUAAAUUUAUCAGUACCAUAUAUCCAUCUGAUCCUCCUGCUCGUUGUCAUGUGCCUUUGGUAUUAUCAUUGUCAUUAUCUCGUGCCUUAUACGUACCUUUGUAAAUAAUAAAAUGCUCAAGAUAAAGAA
Molecule: long non-coding RNA, 2202 nt
Organism: Macrobrachium nipponense
Lineage: Eukaryota; Metazoa; Arthropoda; Malacostraca; Decapoda; Palaemonidae
Exons: 3
Source: RefSeq, a predicted model, not a curated record